AUACGUAGGGAGCGAGCGUUGUCCGGAUUUACUGGGUGUAAAGGGUGCGUAGGCGGGUUUGCAAGUCAGACGUGAAAUACCGGGGCUUAACUCCGGGGCUGCGUUUGAAACUGUAGAUCUUGAGUGAAGUAGAGGCAAGCGGAAUUCCUAGUGUAGCGGUGAAAUGCGUAGAUAUUAGGAGGAACACCAGUGGCGAAGGCGGCUUGCUGGGCUUUAACUGACGCUGAGGCACGAAAGCGUGGGGAGCAAACAGGAUUAGAUACCCUGGUAGUCCACGCCGUAAACGAUGAUUGCUAGGUGUGGGGGGACUGACCCCCUCCGUGCCGGAGUAAACACAAUAAGCAAUCCACCUGGGGAGUACGACCGCAAGGUUGAAACUCAAAUGAAUUGACGGGG
Molecule: ribosomal RNA, 396 nt
Filed under: uncultured bacterium
Lineage: Bacteria
Description: partial 16S ribosomal RNA
Rfam family: Bacterial small subunit ribosomal RNA
Source: RNAcentral